ACUUCGCGAAAGCGAGGCUAAUACUGAAUAAUAUCCUGUUGUUGCAUGAUGACGGGAUCAAAGGUGGCUCGUAAGGGCUGCCGCCAAAGGACGAGCCCGCGACCUAUCAGCUAGUUGGUGAGGUAAUGGCUCACCAAGGCUUUUGACGGGUAGCUGGUCUGAGAGGAUGGUCAGCAACACUGGGACUGAGACACUGCCCAGACUUCUACGGGAGGCUGCAGUCGAGGAUCUUUAUCAAUGCCCGAAAGGGUGAAUAUGCGACGCCGCGUGCAGGAUGAAGGCUUUCGGGUCGUAAACUGCUGUCAGGGGUGAGGAAAAGGUGCGUAUGAAUAAUGCGUAUCUUUGACGUUAACCCCAAAGGAAGCCACGGCUAACUCUGUGCCAGCAGCCGCGGUAAUACAGAGGUGGCGAGCGUUGUUCGGAAUCAUUGGGUGUAAAGGGCAGGUAGGUGGUUGAAUAAGUCUGUCGGGAAAUCCCAGGGCUCAACCCUGGAACUGCGAUGGAAACUGUUCGACUUGAGUGCCGGAGAGGUGAGGGGAAUUCUCGGUGUAAGGGUGAAAUCUGUAGAUAUCGAGAGGAACACCAGUGGCGAAGGCGCCUCACUGGACGGCAACUGACACUGAGCUGCGAAAGCUAGGGUAGCAAACAGGAUUAGAUACCCUGGUAGUCCUAGCUGUAAACGAUGUGGAUUAGGUGUUGGGAGAGUUGAUCCUCUCAGCGCCGCCGUUAACACAAUAAAUCCACCACCUGGGGAGUACGGUCGCAAGACUGAAACUCAAAGGAAUUGACGGGGACCCGCACAAGCGGUGGAGCAUGUGGUUUAAUUCGAGGCUACACGAGGAACCUUACCUGGGCUUGACAUGAUAACAGUAGCCCUGAUGAAAGUCGGGGUGAUCGUGACCAAUCGAAGGUUAUCACAGGUGCUGCAUGGCUGUCGUCAGCUCGUGCUGUGAAGUGUUGGGUUAAGUCCCGCAACGAGCGCAACCAUUGCCCUUAGUUGCCAGCGGGUUAUGCCGGGAACUCUAAGGGGACUGCCAGUGAUAAACUGGAGGGAGGUGGAGAUGAUGUCAAGUCAGCAUGGCCCUUACGCCCAGGGCUACACACGUGCUACAAUGGCUGGUACAAUGGGCUGCAAAUCCGCGAGGAAGAGCUAAUCCCAAAAAGCCAGCCCCAGUUCGGAUUGCAGGCUGCAAUUCGCCUGCAUGAAGUUGGAAUCGCUAGUAAUGGCGCAUCAGACAUGGCGCCGUGAAUACGUUCCCGGGUCUUGUACACACCGCCCGUCAAGCCACCUGAAUCGGGAGUACCCGAAGUCGCUGUUCUAACCCGCAAGGGAGGAAGGCGCCGAAGGUAAAUCCGGUGAGGAGGGCUAAGUCGUAACAAGGUA
This 1384-nucleotide ribosomal RNA is filed under the name metagenome. RNAcentral describes it as "bacterial SSU rRNA". It matches the Rfam family "Bacterial small subunit ribosomal RNA", at positions 146 to 1498 of the family's 1533-position model. The record is from RNAcentral.